GAUGAACGCUGGCGGCGUGCCUAAUACAUGCAAGUCGAGCGAACGGACGAGAAGCUUGCUUCUCUGAUGUUAGCGGCGGACGGGUGAGUAACACGUGGAUAACCUACCUAUAAGACUGGGAUAACUUCGGGAAACCGGAGCUAAUACCGGAUAAUAUUUUGAACCGCAUGGUUCAAAAGUGAAAGACGGUCUUGCUGUCACUUAUAGAUGGAUCCGCGCUGCAUUAGCUAGUUGGUAAGGUAACGGCUUACCAAGGCAACGAUGCAUAGCCGACCUGAGAGGGUGAUCGGCCACACUGGAACUGAGACACGGUCCAGACUCCUACGGGAGGCAGCAGUAGGGAAUCUUCCGCAAUGGGCGAAAGCCUGACGGAGCAACGCCGCGUGAGUGAUGAAGGUCUUCGGAUCGUAAAACUCUGUUAUUAGGGAAGAACAUAUGUGUAAGUAACUGUGCACAUCUUGACGGUACCUAAUCAGAAAGCCACGGCUAACUACGUGCCAGCAGCCGCGGUAAUACGUAGGUGGCAAGCGUUAUCCGGAAUUAUUGGGCGUAAAGCGCGCGUAGGCGGUUUUUUAGUCUGAUGUGAAAGCCCACGGCUCAACCGUGGAGGGUCAUUGGAAACUGGAAAACUUGAGUGCAGAAGAGGAAAGUGGAAUUCCAUGUGUAGCGGUGAAAUGCGCAGAGAUAUGGAGGAACACCAGUGGCGAAGGCGACUUUCUGGUCUGUAACUGACGCUGAUGUGCGAAAGCGUGGGGAUCAAACAGGAUUAGAUACCCUGGUAGUCCACGCCGUAAACGAUGAGUGCUAAGUGUUAGGGGGUUUCCGCCCCUUAGUGCUGCAGCUAACGCAUUAAGCACUCCGCCUGAGGAGUACGACCGCAAGGUUGAAACUCAAAGGAAUUGACGGGGACCCGCACAAGCGGUGGAGCAUGUGGUUUAAUUCGAAGCAACGCGAAGAACCUUACCAAAUCUUGACAUCCUUUGACAACUCUAGAGAUAGAGCCUUCCCCUUCGGGGGACAAAGUGACAGGUGGUGCAUGGUUGUCGUCAGCUCGUGUCGUGAAAUGUUGGGUUAAGUCCCGCAACGAGCGCAACCCUUAAGCUUAGUUGCCAUCAUUAAGUUGGGCACUCUAAGUUGACUGCCGGUGACAAACCGGAGGAAGGUGGGGAUGACGUCAAAUCAUCAUGCCCCUUAUGAUUUGGGCUACACACGUGCUACAAUGGACAAUACAAAGGGCAGCGAGACCGCGAGGUCAAGCAAAUCCCAUAAAGUUGUUCUCAGUUCGGAUUGUAGUCUGCAACUCGACUACAUGAAGCUGGAAUCGCUAGUAAUCGUAGAUCAGCAUGCUACGGUGAAUACGUUCCCGGGUCU
Molecule: ribosomal RNA, 1371 nt
Filed under: uncultured bacterium
Lineage: Bacteria
Description: bacterial SSU rRNA
Rfam family: Bacterial small subunit ribosomal RNA
Source: RNAcentral